Molecule: small nuclear RNA, 104 nt
Organism: Hypanus sabinus (Atlantic stingray)
Lineage: Eukaryota; Metazoa; Chordata; Chondrichthyes; Myliobatiformes; Dasyatidae
Source: RefSeq, a predicted model, not a curated record
AUGCUUUGGUAGUACAUAUACUAAAUUUGGAAUAAUAUAGAGAAUAUUAGUGUAGACCUUGCACAAGGAUAACACAUUUGUGAAAUGGAUAGGGGAGAACCAUU